UACGAAGGGGGCUAGCGUUGCUCGGAAUCACUGGGCGUAAAGCGCACGUAGGCGGAUCUUUAAGUCAGGGGUGAAAUCCUGGAGCUCAACUCCAGAACUGCCUUUGAUACUGGGGAUCUCGAGUCCGGGAGAGGUGAGUGGAACUCCGAGUGUAGAGGUGAAAUGCGCAGAUAUCAGGAAGAACACCCGUGGCGAAGGCGGCUUUCUGGGACGGUACUGACGCUGAGACGCGAAAGCGUGGGGAGCGAACAGG
This 253-nucleotide ribosomal RNA is filed under the name uncultured bacterium. RNAcentral's name for it is "partial 16S ribosomal RNA". It matches the Rfam family "Bacterial small subunit ribosomal RNA", at positions 524 to 776 of the family's 1533-position model. The record is from RNAcentral.